Molecule: ribosomal RNA, 632 nt
Filed under: uncultured Enterobacteriaceae bacterium
Lineage: Bacteria; Pseudomonadati; Pseudomonadota; Gammaproteobacteria; Enterobacterales; Enterobacteriaceae
Description: SSU rRNA
Rfam family: Bacterial small subunit ribosomal RNA
Source: RNAcentral
CUUCUUUGCUGACGAGUGGCGGACGGGUGAGUAAUGUCUGGGAAACUGCCUGAUGGAGGGGGAUAACUACUGGAAACGGUAGCUAAUACCGCAUAACGUCGCAAGACCAAAGAGGGGGACCUUCGGGCCUCUUGCCAUCGGAUGUGCCCAGAUGGGAUUAGCUAGUAGCUGGGGUAACGGCUCACCUAGGCGACGAUCCCUAGCUGGUCUGAGAGGAUGACCAGCCACACUGGAACUGAGACACGGUCCAGACUCCUACGGGAGGCAGCAGUGGGGAAUAUUGCACAAUGGGCGCAAGCCUGAUGCAGCCAUGCCGCGUGUAUGAAGAAGGCCUUCGGGUUGUAAAGUACUUUCAGCGGGGAGGAAGGGAGUAAAGUUAAUACCUUUGCUCAUUGACGUUACCCGCAGAAGAAGCACCGGCUAACUCCGUGCCAGCAGCCGCGGUAAUACGGAGGGUGCAAGCGUUAAUCGGAAUUACUGGGCGUAAAGCGCACGCAGGCGGUUUGUUAAGUCAGAUGUGAAAUCCCCGGGCUCAACCUGGGAACUGCAUCUGAUACUGGCAAGCUUGAGUCUCGUAGAGGGGGGUAGAAUUCCAGGUGUAGCGGUGAAAUGCGUAGAGAUCUGGAGGAAUA